RNAcentral lists this transfer RNA (733 nucleotides) under Cymatolege isodiametrica TAU-MAC 1715. Its description in RNAcentral is "partial contains 16S ribosomal RNA, 16S-23S ribosomal RNA intergenic spacer, and 23S ribosomal RNA". The stretch from base 323 to 395 matches the Rfam family "tRNA". Lineage: Bacteria; Bacillati; Cyanobacteriota; Cyanophyceae; Nodosilineales; Cymatolegaceae. The record is from RNAcentral.
AGGGAGACCUACUAAGUAACACUUUGAAAGCGAAUUGCGAAUAGAAGGUUGCUGUAGUCACCUAAGGUCGUCGAGGGUUUUGUUGAUUUGUUCUUGAUUAGUUUCAAGAGAGUCUCUAGUUAUUCAGGUGUUGCUACUUAAUUAGGAAGAGUUUUUGUUCAUUAAUUUGGAUAGGACUUAACACCGACUUAAAAAGUUAAGGGCUAUUAGCUCAGGUGGUUAGAGCGCACCCCUGAUAAGGGUGAGGUCCCUGGUUCGAGUCCAGGAUGGCCCACUUUAAUCUUAGAGAAAUAGUGCAAUUAUCGACUGCAUUAGCAACUUUGGGGGUAUAGCUCAGCUGGUAGAGCGCCUGCUUUGCAAGCAGGAUGUCAGCGGUUCGAGUCCGCUUACCUCCACCAAAUUUUUACGUGUAUUGGAUACUGUCGGUAAUCGAAUAGCGUAGAUACAGAAAAGAAACCAAGUCAACGAGAAAUCAGCAUCUAGAGAUAAGAGCCAUUUGAGGUUCGUUAUCAUGGAGUGCUGGUCUUUAAGCGACUAGCGAGAACCUUGACAACUGCAUAGAUAAAUAUAGAAAGCAAAGGUAGUUCAAAGUCUGUAAAAGACAUUUGAAAAACGAAAAGCCCGAUUGUUGUUCUAUUUAUUGAGAAAGCACAACGAGAGAAGUGUUGGCAUAAGUCAGUGUUUGUCUUCUAGUGAUUUCAAAGUAUUUAGGAGAAUAGUCUAGCGCAAGAGA